Molecule: ribosomal RNA, 253 nt
Filed under: uncultured bacterium
Lineage: Bacteria
Description: partial 16S ribosomal RNA
Rfam family: Bacterial small subunit ribosomal RNA
Source: RNAcentral
UACGGGGGGGGCAAGCGUUGUUCGGAAUUACUGGGCGUAAAGGGCGCGUAGGCGGCCUGCUAAGUCGGAUGUGAAAUCCCUCGGCUCAACCGAGGAACUGCAUCCGAUACUGGCGGGCUUGAAUCCGGGAGAGGGAUGUGGAAUUCCAGGUGUAGCGGUGAAAUGCGUAGAUAUCUGGAGGAACACCGGUGGCGAAGGCGGCAUCCUGGACCGGUAUUGACGCUGAGGCGCGAAAGCUAGGGGAGCGAAUGGG